Molecule: ribosomal RNA, 250 nt
Filed under: uncultured bacterium
Lineage: Bacteria
Description: partial 16S ribosomal RNA
Rfam family: Bacterial small subunit ribosomal RNA
Source: RNAcentral
UACGUACCGGACGAACGUUAUUCGGAAUCACUGGGCUUAAAGAGUGCGUAGGCGGCCUUGCAGGUGAGGUGUGAAAUCCCACGGCCCAACCGUGGAAUUGCGCUUCAAACCGCUAGGCUUGAGGGAGACAGGGGUGAGCGGAACUGAUGGUGGAGCGGUGAAAUGCGUUGAUAUCAUCAGGAACACCUGUGGCGAAGGCGGCUCACUGGGUCUCUUCUGACGCUGAGGCACGAAAGCUAGGGGAGCGAAC